GACAGAGGGUGCAAACGUUGCUCGGAAUUACUGGGCGUAAAGCGCGUGUAGGCGGAUUGGCAAGUCAAACGUGAAAUCCCCGGGCUCAACCCGGGAACUGCGCUCGAAACUGCCAGUCUUGAGUGUCGGAGAGGGAAGCGGAAUUCCUGGUGUAGAGGUGAAAUUCGUAGAUAUCAGGAGGAACACCGGUGGCGAAGGCGGCUUCCUGGACGACAACUGACGCUGAGACGCGAAAGCGUGGGGAGCAAACAGG
Molecule: ribosomal RNA, 253 nt
Filed under: uncultured bacterium
Lineage: Bacteria
Description: partial 16S ribosomal RNA
Rfam family: Bacterial small subunit ribosomal RNA
Source: RNAcentral